UACGUAGGGUGCAAGCGUUGUUCGGAAUUACUGGGCGUAAAGCGCGCGUAGGCGGGUUUGAAAGUCGAUUGUGAAAUCCCUAGGCUUAACCUGGGAAUGGCAGUCGAAACUUCAAAUCUUGAAUGUCUGAGAGGAUGGCGGAAUAACCGGUGUAGUAGUGAAAUACGUAGAUAUCGGUUAGAACACCUGAGGCGAAGGCGGCUAUCUGGCGGUACAUUGACGCUAAGGCGCGAAAGCGUGGGGAGCAAACAGG
RNAcentral lists this ribosomal RNA (253 nucleotides) under uncultured bacterium. RNAcentral's name for it is "partial 16S ribosomal RNA". It matches the Rfam family "Bacterial small subunit ribosomal RNA", at positions 524 to 776 of the family's 1533-position model. The record is from RNAcentral.